This 418-nucleotide ribosomal RNA is filed under the name uncultured bacterium. RNAcentral describes it as "bacterial SSU rRNA". It matches the Rfam family "Bacterial small subunit ribosomal RNA", at positions 355 to 786 of the family's 1533-position model. The record is from RNAcentral.
UGGGGGAUAUUGCACAAUGGGGGAAACCCUGAUGCAGCGACGCCGCGUGGGGGAAGACGGUUUUCGGAUUGUAAACCUCUGUCUUUGGGGGACGAACAAAUGACGGUACCCAAGGAGGAAGCCACGGCUAACUACGUGCCAGCAGCCGCGGUAAUGCGUAGGUGGCAAGCGUUGUCCGGAAUUACUGGGUGUAAAGGGAGCGUAGGCGGUAUUGCAAGUUGAAUGUGAAAUCUAUCGGCUCAACUGAUAGGCUGCGUUCAAAACUGUAGUACUUGAGUGAAGUAGAGGCAGGCGGAAUUCCCGGUGUAGCGGUGGAAUGCGUAGAUAUCGGGGAGGAACACCAGUGGCGAAGGCGGCCUGCUGGGCCUUAACUGACGCUGAGGCUCGAAAGCAUGGGGAGCAAACAGGAUUAGAUACC